RNAcentral lists this unclassified non-coding RNA (382 nucleotides) under uncultured bacterium. RNAcentral's name for it is "contains 16S-23S intergenic spacer region". The record is from RNAcentral.
UCCGAGUUGACCCCGGCAGUCUCUCACGAGUCCCCACCAUGACGUGCUGGCAACAUGAGACAAGGGUUGCGCUCGUUGCGGGACUUAACCCAACAUCUCACGACACGAGCUGACGACAGCCAUGCAGCACCUGUGUCGGCUCCCCUUGCGGAAUCGGGCCCCUUUCGGUUUCCUACCACCGACAUGUCAAACCCAGGUAAGGUUUUUCGCGUUGCGUCGAAUUGAACCACAUGCUCCACCGCUUGUGCGGGUCCCCGUCAAUUCCUUUGAGUUUUAGCCUUGCGGCCGUACUCCCCAGGCGGAGUGCUUAGCGCGUUAGCUACGGCACUGGAGGGGUCAAUACCCCCAACGCCUAGCACUCAUCGUUUACGGCGUGGACUAC